GCCCAGACUCCUACGGGAGGCAGCAGUGGGGAAUAUUGCACAAUGGGGGGAACCCUGAUGCAGCGACGCCGCGUGGGUGAAGGAGCACCUCGGUGCGUAAAGCCCUAUCGGCAGGGAAGAAACAGACGGUACCUGACUAAGAAGCCCCGGCUAACUACGUGCCAGCAGCCGCGGUAAUACGUAGGGGGCAAGCGUUAUCCGGAUUCACUGGGUGUAAAGGGAGCGUAGACGGCGACGCAAGUCUGGAGUGAAAGCCCGGGGCCCAACCCCGGGACUGCUCUGGAAACUGCCUGACUGGAGUGCUGGAGAGGCAAGCGGAAUUCCUAGUGUAGCGGUGAAAUGCGUAGAUAUUAGGAAGAACACCAGUGGCGAAGGCGGCGUGCUGGACAGUAACUGACGUUGAGGCUCGAAAGCGUGGGGAGCAAACAGGAUUAGAUACCCCCGUAACC
RNAcentral lists this ribosomal RNA (449 nucleotides) under uncultured bacterium. Its description in RNAcentral is "bacterial SSU rRNA". It matches the Rfam family "Bacterial small subunit ribosomal RNA", at positions 329 to 795 of the family's 1533-position model. The record is from RNAcentral.